GACCGAACCGACUAAUGUUGAAAAAUUAGCGGAUGACUUGUGGCUGGGGGUGAAAGGCCAAUCAAACCGGGAGAUAGCUGGUUCUCCCCGAAAGCUAUUUAGGUAGCGCCUCGUGAAUUCAUCUCCGGGGGUAGAGCACUGUUUCGGCAAGGGGGUCAUCCCGACUUACCAACCCGAUGCAAACUGCGAAUACCGGAGAAUGUUAUCACGGGAGACACACGGCGGGUGCUAACGUCCGUCGUGAAGAGGGAAACAACCCAGACCGCCAGCUAAGGUCCCAAAGUCAUGGUUAAGUGGGAAACGAUGUGGGAAGGCCCAGACAGCCAGGAUGUUGGCUUAGAAGCAGCCAUCAUUUAAAGAAAGCGUAAUAGCUCACUGGUCGAGUCGGCCUGCGCGGAAGAUGUAACGGGGCUAAACCAUG
RNAcentral lists this ribosomal RNA (421 nucleotides) under Escherichia coli. RNAcentral's name for it is "partial 23S ribosomal RNA". It matches the Rfam family "Bacterial large subunit ribosomal RNA", at positions 772 to 1191 of the family's 2925-position model. Lineage: Bacteria; Pseudomonadati; Pseudomonadota; Gammaproteobacteria; Enterobacterales; Enterobacteriaceae. The record is from RNAcentral.